AGGGGCAUAGUUCAACGGUAGAAUAGAGGGCUCCAAAACCUUUGGUGUGGGUUCGAUUCCUACUGCCCCUGCCA
RNAcentral lists this transfer RNA (74 nucleotides) under Staphylococcus aureus. RNAcentral's name for it is "tRNA-Trp". It matches the Rfam family "tRNA". Rfam says of the family: Transfer RNA (tRNA) molecules are approximately 80 nucleotides in length. Their secondary structure includes four short double-helical elements and three loops (D, anti-codon, and T loops). The record is from RNAcentral. Lineage: Bacteria; Bacillati; Bacillota; Bacilli; Caryophanales; Staphylococcaceae.